CAGCACCUCAAGUGGUCAGGAUGAUUAUUGGGCCUAAAGCAUCCGUAGCCGGCUCUGUAAGUUUUCGGUUAAAUCUGUACGCUCAACGUACAGGCUGCCGGGAAUACUGCAGCGCUAGGGAGUGGGAGAGGUAGACGGUACUCGGUAGGAAGGGGUAAAAUCCUUUGAUCUAUUGAUGACCACCUGUGGCGAAGGCGGUCUGCCAGAACACGUCCGACGGUGAGGGAUGAAAGCUGGGGGAGCAAACCGGAUUAGAUACCCGAGUAGUCC
RNAcentral lists this ribosomal RNA (270 nucleotides) under uncultured archaeon. RNAcentral describes it as "partial 16S ribosomal RNA". It matches the Rfam family "Archaeal small subunit ribosomal RNA", at positions 477 to 747 of the family's 1478-position model. The record is from RNAcentral.